RNAcentral lists this long non-coding RNA (850 nucleotides) under Bos indicus x Bos taurus (hybrid cattle). Its description in RNAcentral is "lncRNA (ENSBIXG00005014789.1)". Lineage: Eukaryota; Metazoa; Chordata; Mammalia; Artiodactyla; Bovidae. The record is from RNAcentral.
AGAGAGCAUGGUUCCAGCUGUUCACUAAUAGGGACUGGGCCAAAGCGAUUCUGCUCCCACUUGGAACUGCAGGAAGACCUGAAGAGGAAAAAUGCAACAGGCACAAACAAAAGAACAUUUUCUAAAACCAACACAUCUAAGUUUAAGAUUUGGGUGGAGAAACAGCGCUAUGUUUGAACAGAAGCCUCAGGAGCACCCUGAGCAGGGCUGGCGGGCAUGUGGUUCGCUGCAGCUUCUUGUUUUUCUCUUCUUUCUUCUUUUAAUAAGCUAUUUAUUUUAUAACAGUUUUAGAUUUAUAGGAAAACUGCAAAGACAGUACAAAGAGUUGCUGUAAGCCCCUCCACCAGUUGCCCUCAUAGUUAAGAUUUUACCUUGCUCCAUUUAACAGCACUAAAAUGAAAGUGAAAGUGUUAGUCACUCCGUCGUGUCCGACUCUUUGUAACCCCAUGGACUGUAGCCUGCCAGCCUCCUCCAACCAUGGGAUUUUCCAGGCAAGAAUACUGGAGUGGGUUGCCAUUUCCUUCUCCAGGGGAUCUUCCUGACCCAGGGAGUGAAGCUGGGUUUCCCACAUUGUAGGCAGAUUCUUUGCAGUCUGAGCCACCAGGGAAGUCCCAGUCACAGACCUUAAGCACAUAGAAAGAAUUGAAAUCAUACAUUGUAUGCCUUCUGGCCACAGAGGAAGUAAGUUAGAAAUUAAUAAUAGAAAGGGGUAACCAGAAAAAUCCCUAAAUGGUCAGAAAUAGGCAAUAUGUUUUAAUAUAGCUAUUGAUCAAAAUAUUCAAUAAGUAUUAGAAAAUAUUUUGUAUAGACUGUUAAUAAAAAUACGUCAUAUCAAGACUUGUAGGAUACA